RNAcentral lists this unclassified non-coding RNA (231 nucleotides) under Hevea brasiliensis (rubber tree). Lineage: Eukaryota; Viridiplantae; Streptophyta; Magnoliopsida; Malpighiales; Euphorbiaceae. The record is from RNAcentral.
UAAACCUUCUGAUCAUUAUAUUUCACUAGAUGACCUCGUUGAGCAGACUUGGCAACUCCAUACAUGGAUCUCCAAUGCAGGUGAUGUGUUACCAUCCUAAAUUGGCUGCCUUGGAUAGUAGAGUGCCCAAAUGGCUGGAAUAUUUACCCUUAAAUAUAACAUAAUUCUCAUUUAGGUCUGGUAUUGUAUGCUGAUUUACAUUGUGUGUUGGCAGCUUGAUUUCCUCUCCAG